RNAcentral lists this ribosomal RNA (691 nucleotides) under uncultured Arthrobacter sp. RNAcentral describes it as "bacterial SSU rRNA". It matches the Rfam family "Bacterial small subunit ribosomal RNA", at positions 830 to 1512 of the family's 1533-position model. The record is from RNAcentral. Lineage: Bacteria; Bacillati; Actinomycetota; Actinomycetes; Micrococcales; Micrococcaceae.
UUCCACGUUUUCCGCGCCGUAGCUAACGCAUUAAGUGCCCCGCCUGGGGAGUACGGCCGCAAGGCUAAAACUCAAAGGAAUUGACGGGGGCCCGCACAAGCGGCGGAGCAUGCGGAUUAAUUCGAUGCAACGCGAAGAACCUUACCAAGGCUUGACAUGGACCGGACCGCCGCAGAGAUGUGGUUUCUCCUUUUGAGGCCGGUUCACAGGUGGUGCAUGGUUGUCGUCAGCUCGUGUCGUGAGAUGUUGGGUUAAGUCCCGCAACGAGCGCAACCCUCGUUCCAUGUUGCCAGCACGUGAUGGUGGGGACUCAUGGGAGACUGCCGGGGUCAACUCGGAGGAAGGUGGGGACGACGUCAAAUCAUCAUGCCCCUUAUGUCUUGGGCUUCACGCAUGCUACAAUGGCCGGUACAAAGGGUUGCGAUACUGUGAGGUGGAGCUAAUCCCAAAAAGCCGGUCUCAGUUCGGAUUGGGGUCUGCAACUCGACCCCAUGAAGUCGGAGUCGCUAGUAAUCGCAGAUCAGCAACGCUGCGGUGAAUACGUUCCCGGGCCUUGUACACACCGCCCGUCAAGUCACGAAAGUUGGUAACACCCGAAGCCGGUGGCCUAACCCCUUGUGGGAGGGAGCCGUCGAAGGUGGGACUGGCGAUUGGGACUAAGUCGUAACAAGGUAACCGUAAAGGGCGAAUU